This 343-nucleotide long non-coding RNA is filed under the name Salvia miltiorrhiza (redroot sage). RNAcentral's name for it is "long non-coding RNA (SMIL_LNC007468)". Lineage: Eukaryota; Viridiplantae; Streptophyta; Magnoliopsida; Lamiales; Lamiaceae. The record is from RNAcentral.
UUUUUCAUAAUCCUAUAUGAAAUAGUAAUUAUUUUAUAAAUAUUAUUCAAUCAUAAUUUGUUAUUUUCAUCCUAUAAUCUCUCAAGUUCUUCUCUCUUUGAUUUUCCACUCUACCUAAAAAUUCUCGAUCUAGUUUAUAAGCUCAAUAUAAGCUUUUUAAAAUAAGUUCAACCAAACACCCUCUAAGAUAUUGUCCUAAAAAAUUCUCUAACUCUUCGUCUAUGUAUGUAAUAGAUAAUGUCGCACAAAUUUACGAUAGAGGAUCUUAAUAUGAGCCAUUUUUGUGCAGUUGAUAGCAUGGAAAGAUGGAGUGAGCAACCUGUUGGUGGAUACAGAUGAAAUA